UACGUAGGUGGCAAGCGUUGUCCGGAAUUAUUGGGCGUAAAGCGCGCGCAGGCGGUCUUUUAAGUCUGAUGUGAAAGCCCCCGGCUCAACCGGGGAGGGUCAUUGGAAACUGGGAGACUUGAGUGCAGAAGAGGAGAGUGGAAUUCCAUGUGUAGCGGUGAAAUGCGUAGAGAUAUGGAGGAACACCAGUGGCGAAGGCGACUCUCUGGUCUGUAACUGACGCUGAGGCGCGAAAGCGUGGGGAGCAAACAGG
This 253-nucleotide ribosomal RNA is filed under the name uncultured bacterium. Its description in RNAcentral is "partial 16S ribosomal RNA". It matches the Rfam family "Bacterial small subunit ribosomal RNA", at positions 524 to 776 of the family's 1533-position model. The record is from RNAcentral.